RNAcentral lists this ribosomal RNA (440 nucleotides) under uncultured bacterium. Its description in RNAcentral is "partial 16S ribosomal RNA". It matches the Rfam family "Bacterial small subunit ribosomal RNA", at positions 338 to 795 of the family's 1533-position model. The record is from RNAcentral.
CCUACGGGAGGCAGCAGUGGGGGAUAUUGCACAAUGGGGGGAACCCUGAUGCAGCGACGCCGCGUGGGUGAAGAAGCGCCUCGGCGCGUAAAGCCCUGUCAGCAGGGAAGAAAAUGACGGUACCUGAAGAGGAAGCCCCUGCUAACUACGCGCCAGCAGCCGCGGUAAUACGUAGGGGGCAAGCGUUAUCCGGAUGUACUGGGUGUAAAGGGGGCGCAGACGGCGCUGCAAGCCAGGAGUGAAAGCCCUGGGCCCAACCCCGGGACUGCUUUUGGAACUGCGGGGCUGGAGAGCAGGAGGGGCAGGCGGAAUUCCUGGUGUAGCGGUGAAAUGCGUAGAUAUUAGGAGGAACACCAGUGGCGAAGGCGGCCUGCUGGACUGCAACUGACGUUGAGGCACGAAAGCGUGGGGAGCAAACAGGAUUAGAUACCCGUGUAGUC